RNAcentral lists this ribosomal RNA (544 nucleotides) under Helicotylenchus digonicus. Its description in RNAcentral is "LSU rRNA". It matches the Rfam family "Eukaryotic large subunit ribosomal RNA", at positions 254 to 656 of the family's 3401-position model. The record is from RNAcentral. Lineage: Eukaryota; Metazoa; Nematoda; Chromadorea; Rhabditida; Hoplolaimidae.
GUGUCUCGGAGUCGGGUUGUUUGGGAGCGCAGCCCAAAGUAGGUGGUAAACUUCAUCUAAGACUUAAUAUGACUACGAGUCCGAUAGCGAACAAGUACCGUGAGGGAAAGUUGCAAAGCACUUUGAAGAGAGAGUUAAAGAGGACGUGAAACCGAUGAGGUGGAAACGGACAGAGCUGGCGUAUCUGGCCUGCAUUCAGCCGCGCCCCGCUGGCGUCAGGGAUGCCGCUCUCCAGAUUGGGACGGUGGUCUGACUGCUCGGUGGGUUYCGUGGUGCAUUUGCAGGUGGAGUGCGCCGAGGCGCUCGGUGCAGCGRCAUGAGCUUGGCUUUGAGGCCAGCCUCGCAAGAGGUCUGGUACCCGGGCCAGGGGAGUGCUGUUUGCGCUGGGCGCAGCAAAGGGCAAUGGUCUCGGGCUCGUGUGGGUGCCGAGCUGGCGGUCGGCGUCGGUCGCGUGCGACACGUGCCWKCARUCAGUUCGGUCCUGCUCGAGCUCACAUCUGCUCGACCUCGGUGUAAAAGCCGGUCAUCUGUCCGACCCGUCUUG